GAUUCGCGGCCUAUCAGCUUGUUGGUGAGGUAGUGGCUCACCAAGGCGACGACGGGUAGCCGGCCUGAGAGGGCGACCGGCCACACUGGGACUGAGAUACGGCCCAGACUCCUACGGGAGGCAGCAGUGGGGAAUAUUGCACAAUGGGCGCAAGCCUGAUGCAGCAACGCCGCGUGCGGGAUGACGGCCUUCGGGUUGUAAACCGCUUUCACCCAUGACGAAGCGCAAGUGACGGUAGUGGGAGAAGAAGCACCGGCUAACUACGUGCCAGCAGCCGCGGUGAUACGUAGGGUGCGAGCGUUGUCCGGAUUUAUUGGGCGUAAAGAGCUCGUAGGCGGUCUGUCGCGUCGGAAGUGAAAACUUGGGGCUUAACCCUGAGCUUGCUUUCGAUACGGGCAGACUUGAGGAAUGUAGGGGAGAAUGGAAUUCUUGGUGGAGCGGUGGAAUGCGCAGAUAUCAGGAGGAACACCAGUGGCGAAGGCGGUUCUCUGGACAUUUCCUGACGCUGAGGAGCGAAAGCGUGGGUAGCAAACAGGCUUAGAUACCCUGGUAGUCCACGCCGUAAACGGUGGGUACUAGGUGUGGGUCUCAUUCCACGAGAUCCGUGCCGCAGCUAACGCAUUAAGUACCCCGCCUGGGGAGUACGGA
RNAcentral lists this ribosomal RNA (648 nucleotides) under uncultured Actinomycetes bacterium. Its description in RNAcentral is "bacterial SSU rRNA". It matches the Rfam family "Bacterial small subunit ribosomal RNA", at positions 228 to 886 of the family's 1533-position model. Lineage: Bacteria; Bacillati; Actinomycetota; Actinomycetes. The record is from RNAcentral.